GGUUACUGCUAUCGGUGUUCGCUAAGCCAUGCGAGUCAUAUGUUCUUCGGAACAUGGCGUACUGCUCAGUAACACGUGGACAACCUACCCUUAGGCCUGGGAUAACCCCGGGAAACUGGGAAUAAUACCGGAUAUCUCGCGAAUGCUGGAAUGCGUCGCGAUAGAAAGCUCCGGCGCCUAAGGAUGGGUCUGCGGCCUAUCAGGUAGUAGUGGGUGUAACGUACCUACUAGCCUACGACGGGUACGGGUUGUGAGAGCAAGAGCCCGGAGAUGGAUUCUGAGACACGAAUCCAGGCCCUACGGGGUGCAGCGGGCGCGAAAACUUUACAAUGCUGGAAACAGCGAUAAGGGGACCUCGAGUGCCAGGAUACAAUCCUGGCUGUCGUAAUGCCUAAAAAGCAUUGCAUACAAGGGCCGGGCAAGACCGGUGCCAGCCGCCGCGGUAACACCGGCGGCUCGAGUGGUAACCGCUAUUAUUGGGUCUAAAGGGACUGUAGCCAGCUGACUAAGUCUCUUGGGAAAUCUGGCAGCUUAACUGUCAGGCUUUCAGGAGAUACUGAUCGGCUCGAGACCGGGAGAGGUGAGAGGUACCUCAGGGGUAGGGGUGAAAUCUUGUAAUCCUUGAGGGACCACCAGUGGCGAAGGCGUCUCACCAGAACGGAUCUGACGGCAAGGGACGAAAGCUAGGGGCACGAACCGGAUUAGAUACCCGGGUAGUCCUAGCCGUAAACGAUACUCGCUAGGUGUCGGCCACGGUGCGACCGUGGUCGGUGCCGUAGGGAAGCCGUGAAGCGAGCCACCUGGGAAGUACGGCCGCAAGGCUGAAACUUAA
This 832-nucleotide ribosomal RNA is filed under the name uncultured archaeon. RNAcentral's name for it is "bacterial SSU rRNA". It matches the Rfam family "Archaeal small subunit ribosomal RNA", at positions 21 to 859 of the family's 1478-position model. The record is from RNAcentral.